Mytilus californianus (California mussel) is the source of this 2476-nucleotide long non-coding RNA. RefSeq lists it as uncharacterized. The record is from RefSeq and is a predicted model, not a curated record. The transcript is spliced from 3 exons. NCBI's taxonomy places the organism in Eukaryota, Metazoa, Mollusca, Bivalvia, Mytilida, Mytilidae.
CAGAGCCUCUAUAUUUACUGCUGUCCUGGAUACUGAUUUGUAAACAUGUAAAAAUAAGGCGGCUAAUGCCCUCAUGUAUCAUCAACAAAGAUAGUGACAAUUAAAUGAAUAAUUUUAUUUCCUUUUUGCAAUUUCUCAUUGAUGUGAUGUAAAUUUUCUGUUAGAAAGUCACACGAUUCUGUAUCUAUACUAGUAUGACAGUUUGCCUAAGUUUCACAAGACUGUUUUAUCUUAUUUUUGCAGAAAUUUUUUUUUCUAGGUGUAUACAACUGUGCAAGUAUUGAACAUCGCAGCUUGAAAUUUAUGCAAUGUGACCUAAAAGACAACAUAAUAAUGGACUGAUGUUCUCUGGUCGUUCGUACUUGUUGGCCACACACAUGAAGAUAUUGAUCCUGCUUUCAGCUAAUAUCAGAAAAAAUAAGAACAAAGGAUGCUGAAACUGUGCAGUCACUGUUCAGGAUUAUUCCAGAUGUUCAAAAAGUGAAAUUAUAAUACAAUAUAUGUUACUGGUUAAUUCCUAUGAUUAGUAAUUUUAAACAACACACAGAGACUUUGCAUUAUUGUUUUACAAGAGCGACACCAAAAGAUGCAGUCAACAUUUAUCAUUUUUAUCAAAAUACACCCAGGACAAACCAUGGAUACACUUAGCUUGAAAUUUGGUGCUUUCUUACCAAAAUUGCCUGGACGUAAAAGAAAUGAAGAACCUAAAUUCAUGACAACAAUCAGGAGAUACCAGAAGAACUAGUAUAAAUGGUUAAAGAUGAAAGAAUGCAGAAUAAGGCAGGAUUGAAAGGAAGAAAGAACUAGUCAUCAGUAAAGAAACAGAUCAAUUUAUAUAACAUGUAAUAAUUCCAUCUGAAUAUAACAAACAUUGCACAUGUUAUGAAGAUUUGUUCACAUGUCUACUCUGAUUUGUAGUUAUGCAUUUGUAAUAUUAUAUAGUACAUGUAUUUUAUUUUAGAACAGUAUUUUUUUUUUUGCUUUGGAGAACAUCAAAGAAAUUUAGAAAAAUAUAAUUAAAGAUAGUUUCUUCCAUUUUUUCUGUGACAAAAAAAAAUUGUGCAAAUUAGGACAAUGAAAUGAGGCUAUAUUAUUAAAUAUUUUUGAGUUUUAUUUUUUUUUACAUCCUAUUUUAAAAUUUCAUUGGCAUUUGAAGUAAUGAGUUGAAACCAGUUUUUAUCAAUCAUUUUUUUUUCAAGAUGUACAAACAGUACAGUAGGUUAAGUCUUUGGUGUACAUUAGUUUACUAUGAUGUUAAGGUCAAAUAAACUUGAAACUUUGUACUUACAAGUGUUCAUUAUGAAGUCAUUUUUGUAAAAUAAUUACAAAUAAGUUACUGAACAUGGAAAUAUGAUUGUGGGAGCAGGGUAUAAUGUGUUAUGGACACACAUCUCAAUCCCAUAGAGCACCACCCUCUCAGUAACCUAAUGGUAUAUAUUGACUUUGAAAAUUUCCUUAGUUUACACUGUAAGGUUUGUGAUAAGUUCAGUUUAAGGAGAACCAUUAAUAGUAUGUUAGGGAUAUUUUAUUUGCAGUUGAAUAAGCUUUUGGACAACGCAUGUGCUUGGGGAUUUUUUUUACCUUGAACCCUCAAUCAUGGUCUAAUAACUUAGAAUCUUUUGCAAAGUUUACAUGUUAAAGUUUAUGCUUAGGCCAGUUGAAAAGCGACCACUUAUCAGAGGCGGAUUUAGAGGGGGCCUGCCCCCCCUCCUUUGUGGGACAAAUUUGGUUGAUUAUAUAAAGGGAAUCACUGAAGCAUGACAAAAGAGAUGCAGUAGAGAGCAACCUUUAUAUUUCUUAGAAAAUACUUUUUUCAGAACUGUAAUGAAAAGUAUGCUUAAAACAAAAUUCAUAUUUUUUUCAGUUAAACACAUAUUUUUUAUGAAUCAUAAUAUUUCAACAAAUGUUUGAAACAAAUUAACAUAAAAACUGUCUAAAUGUAUAAAAAUUCUGUGUUGUAAAAUCUUAUCAAUUUUGUUUUUCGGGAUUUUUCCCAAUAUGUUUAAGAAAUCUGUAGCAUAAUUUUUGCUUGUAGAUUUUAUUUCGGGAUUUUUCCCGAAAUGGGUAAAAAAAUCUAUGCAACAAGUGUGUGCUUGAUAAUAGAUUUAUAUUUUCGGGAUUUUACCCGAAAUGUGAAAAGAAAUUAUUAGUCAUGAGUUCUAGCAUAUACUUUGGGUUUUCGGGAUAAAUCCCGAAAUAUUUGAAGACAUCUGUGUUAUACAUUUUGCACUUAGUUUAUUUUUGUCGGGAUUUUUCCCGAAAUGUGUUUCAGAUCUAUUUGUCAAAAUGCUUUGCCAACAUAUAUGUUAUAAAUAAUAAUGUUGAAAAUGAUUUCGGGACAUUUCCCGAAUAAAAAGUUGUCACAUACAUCUUUACCACAAAUAUUUUGAAACUUUAAUAUAUUUUGGGAAAUUUCCCGAAAAUUAAAUGUAAGUUUUAUCAAUUAAAUGAAUAAAAACAUGGAAUAUUGUAAAAA